GCAGUCGAACGGUCUACCUCGACAGAAACCUUCGGGUUGACGACGAGAUCUAGAUAGUGGCGGACGGGUGAGUAACACGUGAAUAAUCUGUCCUCAAGUCCGGGAUAACCUGGCGAAAGUCGGGCUAAUCCGGGGUAAGCUGAGAGUGUGGCAUCACACAAUCAGAAAAGGUGGCUCUGCCAUCGUUUGAGGAGGAGUUCGCGGUAGAUUAGCUAGCUGGUGAGGUAACGGCUCACCAGGGCAACAAUCUAUAGCUGGUCUGAGAGGACGAUCAGUCACACUGGAACUGAGACACGGUCCAGACUCCUACGGGAGGCAGCAGUGGGGAAUCUUCCACAAUGGGCGCAAGCCUGAUGGAGCAACGCCGCGUGAAUGAAGAAGGCCUUAGGGUCGUAAAGUUCUGUCCUUAGGGAAGAACCGUGGGUAUAGCAAAUGAUACCCACCUGACGGUACCUUUGGAGGAAGCACUGGCUAACUACGUGCCAGCAGCCGCGGUAAUACGUAGAGUGCAAGCGUUGUCCGGAAUUAUUGGGCGUAAAGGGUACGCAGGCGGAUAGUAAAGUCAAGCGUGAAAGGUGUCGGCUUAACCGACAGACUGCGUUUGAAACUGAUUAUCUUGAGUGUAACAGAGGAGAGUGGAAUUCCUAGUGUAGUGGUGAAAUACGUAGAUAUUAGGAAGAACACCAGUGGCGAAGGCGACUCUCUGGGUUAACACUGACGCUGAGGUACGAAAGCUGGGGGAGCGAACGGGAUUAGAUACCCCGGUAGUCCCAGCCGUAA
This 780-nucleotide ribosomal RNA is filed under the name uncultured bacterium. RNAcentral describes it as "bacterial SSU rRNA". It matches the Rfam family "Bacterial small subunit ribosomal RNA", at positions 57 to 805 of the family's 1533-position model. The record is from RNAcentral.